AAGUGUCCAGGGAUGGGAAUCGAACCCACAGUGUUCCGCUUACCGGGCAGAUGCCAUGUCCACUAGGCUACUGUACU
This 77-nucleotide transfer RNA is filed under the name Cordylochernes scorpioides. Its description in RNAcentral is "tRNA-Thr". The record is from RNAcentral. Lineage: Eukaryota; Metazoa; Arthropoda; Arachnida; Pseudoscorpiones; Chernetidae.